Molecule: unclassified non-coding RNA, 616 nt
Filed under: Leishmania donovani
Lineage: Eukaryota; Euglenozoa; Kinetoplastea; Trypanosomatida; Trypanosomatidae
Description: gene:unknown
Source: RNAcentral
CAGCGCCACGGUUCCACCGUCACCACAGCCGGACUCUCUCCGAAUGGACACGCUUGCUCUAUUCGUGAUGCAUUUGUUUUUUCUCGAUGUUCAGCCGCCCAGAGUACCGUAUAACACCAAGCAUAUACGACGAAGGUGAAGGUGGACGCACGGGUUUCCCUCUCUCGCUUACACACAUGCGCAUGCACGCACGCCUCCUCCAUUAUGCGGUGCCCACUCACCCUGGGUGUAUGUAUAUGUACAUACCUCCCCACGUGUAUAUCUAUACGUCUAGGUAAGCCUGCGUAUGCGUAUUUAUAUAUAUAUAUAUGUGUGUGUGUGCAUUUAUAUAAAUAGAUGUCUGCGUACUCAUGUGGAAGAACGCGCGAGGAACGGAAAGGAGUUCGAGAGGCGGGCGAACCAGGACGCACGCAAACAUCAGAGCAGAGCAGAGCGAAGGCGUGCGGCGCGCAUCUGCAGGUGUGCAUGAGUGCGCGCGUGGCACGUCGGCUCAGUGCGUGAAUGCCUCGUCUCUGUCGUGUGUGCGUUCAGCCACGGUUUGCCGGCUGUGCACCCCCACCCUACCCCCCGCACACACACACAAACCUCCCCCUCCCUCUCGCGCUCUCUUUGGCAG